GGCAGCGCCCGGACCCCGCGGCCGCCCCGGGCGGAGGUCAACGGGCGGGGAGGGGCGGCACGAACGGCCCCGCGCUGCCCCUCGGCCAAAGCCCGCAGCGGCCUCAGCGGGAAAGUUGGGGAAAGUUCGGGCGCGCGGACCCCCGGCCCGGCCGCAGCCCCGGCCCCAUCACUCCCUCCUGCUUUUUGUCGGGUCGUUUCGCUUUUUUUUUUUUUUCCUUUCUUUUUUUUCUUAAUUAUUUCACUUCAUCUCGGUGAUGAGAUCUGACCGGGACAGCCGAAAACCAAAAUAACGCCGACGUUACGUUUAUUCCGGCCUCACAGCUGGGCUGUUCCAGUACCAGCCUCUCUUGGAUUCUGAUUCGAUUUGCUCUGCCUCGAGAGUACAAGAGAUUUGGAAUCAGAAUGGAAUCGGGACACAGAGAAAACAUUUCUUUUCAGCACUUCUCUUACUUCGUGACUUGGGCUUGAAGUUCCCACUGUUUUACCUGGGCAUAAUGAACACACCAUGGUGCUUUCUGGAUUAACAGUUGCGUAAGAGGCUUCAUCUGGACUCACUUGCACACAUCACAUUUCAAAGGAGUACAUUUCUUUGGGGGAAUGCGUUGUAAUUUUUAAAAAGGGUAUUUCACAGAUUAUUAGACAUAGUUGUGCCACUGGGUAUCAAUCUCACAGCUAAAAAACCCAAUCAUUGUGUUGUGGCAAUUGCUUACUUAACGUUUGGGCUUGUUUGUGUCGCUUUUGUGGGUUUUUUUAAAUGAAGAGAAUGAAUUCCUUUGACUGACUGCAAGGCUCAGAAAAUACCAGUUAUCAAUUCUCUUCCUAAUGACAACUGAUGACAUGAUUUUUACAAACGGUUGAGCACUUGGCAAAUGCUAACCAUAGAAAUCGAAUGAGCUGAAAGAAACUCCAGCCUGCCCCAUUGUCAUGACUGAGCUGACAGAUGGGAAAAAGAGAAGGAGGUUGUGAUGCUAUCCCAGAAGCCCAGGGGCACAGCGUGAAGUGACUGCUGAAGUGCCUUGAAAGACCCCAAGUGAGGGAAGAGCAGAUUUCCCCAAGCAGACAUCAACUGUACUUUGUUUCAGAGGUUGCCCUUUCUAACACAGCCCCCAAACGGGCUGGCCAGAUUCUCAGCAGUGGAGGUAAAAUUGAAUUUCCAGGAAGGAAAGGAAGAACUGGAGCCAGGCUGCUGCUGAGAGAGCAGGAGGGCAGGGGUGCCAGUGCAGCUGCCUGAAGCAGGUGGCCCAAAUGGCAGCAUCUGCUGCUGCCUAGGACACCGUCACCUGCCUGGGCAUCAGCGGCGUGGCCAGGCUGCUGUGCUGCCCAGUGUUUUGCUGCAAGCAGCUGCCCUCCCUGCCUGCGCUUCAUCAGCGGGGAAAAUCCCCCGGUAUGUGGAAAAGCCUCUAAGCCCCAGCGCAAGAAUUCAGAAAUUGCCAUUGACAGUCUGUUGAGAUCAAACCGCUUGGCCUUGCCUUUCCUUACCUAUUUUUCCCCCCUGUCAAUGCAUCUAAUGUGUAUCCUUUGGUUUGGUAAAAAGCAACUUGAGAAGUUAAAAGUACCAAACCUCAGUAGCUUCACCCAUAUGUGCUGCGCGCCUCAGGCUAGACAGCACAUAUUGGUAGCCAGACUGAGAAGAACAUUUACCACAUUACCUCUUAAAAACUCACUUUAUUUUUCUUGUUGAGCUGGCUCCCAUCCAAUGUGACACUCCAGCAUGAGCCAUGCAGUGACAGCAACAGCCUCCAUGGAAACACACCGGAGCAUGAGGCCAGCUUGGGGUAGAGAGAAAAGGCAGCUUCGUCCUUUUGCUUAAUCUGCUGCAUUUCCUUUUGAACGCUCUCUCCUUUCUUUUUCUUUUUCUAUUUUUUUUAAAGCAUAUUAGCAAUGCCUCUCCUCUGCCAAUGUCUUUUGUCUGUCUUUUAUAACAAUGCAAAAUUAUGCUCACCCUCAGCAAAAUGGGGCUGAUUGCAGCACACCUUACAGCCCCAGCACCACACACUUCCACUCCUUCUUUGUCACACCAUCCAAGUGCCAAAGCCAGGAUGGGAUCCUGCCCAUGCCACCAAGAUGUUGUGAAGAAAUGUGGGUUCCAGUGGGAGGAGGUUUGAAAGUGCGUUGCCAAGCCAGAGACCCUUGUGUGUUGAAGGUGUUGCAGACUCGGUAUUCCUUCUGAUCCAAAAAGAGGCAGAAAGCAGCAAAGGAAGGCUCUGUCUCAUAAAUUUCUGCACCAUCUUCCAGAAUUGUACGUAUUCCCACUUCACUCAAGAACCAGUUGACCAAGGAAGAAGUAAGUGAAAGGAAGAAAUUUAGCAGGUUGCUCUCCUAGUAGUGUAACUGGGGAGACUUUGAUGGUCAGGAUGCUGUGAGGAGGAAGGAUCCAACUAUUACCUUCAUCAUCCUUAUGUCUUUAACCAUGCCUGCCUCUCUGUCAGACUAAGAACGCGUCCCUGCAUGUAACAGCAUUAUUCAACUUCGCAUAACGCUAUUUUGAUAGAACUGAUUAUAUGAUUUUUCCUUUAAUAUUUCUCUGAAAUGCUUCUUUUUCUUUUUCCCCUCAGACUGUCAUGAAGUAGAUCUCUCACCCUAAAUAUUCACUCUUCGAUAUAGGUGGUGAACAAGACAGUUAUUUGGCACUGCUCCAAAUGCUUCAGCAUUUCAUAGGCUAAAAUCCAGCAGAAUCUGCAAGCCUACAAGCUAGCUGCUACUGUGCUUAACUUACAGACAUGUGGCUUUACAUCUACAAACUACAUGCAAACACUGAGCUUCCCCACACAUAACUCAUAGGUUCCUACUACUGAAUUCCUAACAUACAGUGUGAAGUAGCAAUUCUUGUAUAUCACGGGGAGAAUUAGGUACCUCAGAUUCACAACAGCCAGAGUACUGAGCAGGAGGUCUCUUGAACUAACCAAGAAGAAUGACAGAAAACAGAUAUAAAGUAGCAUUUCCUUCAUCUAUAGACUUAAACUGCCUAAGUGUGGGCUGCAAGCAAAUGUUAUAGGACUGGGAUUCAUGGGCCCGUACCCUCUCCCCAAGUUGAGCACCUUAGCCAUCAUUCCCAGGGGCAGUUCACAUUUUUUCCAAACAAUGCGAAACUGCCCCAACAAUAAAUGUGUGACAUGCAGUAUAGCGUGUAAUAAGCAUGUGUUAAUGUAUAAUACUUUAAUACGUGUUAUAAAUAAUAACAGACAGCAGGCACUUACUUGAUAUAUACCCUAAUUCUCUCAUCUCCCCACACAGUUCCCUCCCUAUAUUAGACACGCUUGAGGGACCGGGAUAUUUCAGACUAAAUGCAUACUGCAGGUAUUUACAUCAGGACCAACCAUUCUUCCCUCUUUCUAAUAGGGAAAGACACUCCUCUUUAGGGUCUUGCACAUUUCAUCCUAAAAUAGAUGUAUGGAUCUAAUUGGCAUCACCAGACUUCUUUGUUGCACCAUUCACUUUAGAUGGCAUUCAGAACUACAUUUUGCUUCAUUGUAAACUUCGGCUCUCUCUACACUGAUUUGGUCCCUCCCAAUAAUUUGUAUAUUUGUGGGCAGCAAUAGGUUCCCAAGGCUAAUUCUGCACUCUUCGUGACAUAAAAGCAAAUCCAUAUAAAUUCCCACAAAAAAAUAAAAAUAAAAAUGGUUGUCCCAAUGCGCCAGACCCCCAAGAAAACUAAUUGCACGGUACACAUAAGGGAACAGUAUUGCAUAAGGGAAAUCAAUUGCCCAAUUCCCUAAGUGGUGCUCUCUGAUUGAGGUUACUGAAAUUACUUCUCUUAAGAUCACCAAGGGUUCUAGACCUUCAGUCAACAUCCUUAAUAUCUGUUUCAGCGCACAAUGUCAGGUCCUGAAAUAAUGGCAAUUUGAACAUCUACAUUGAGCUGGUUGUCCUGGCCAUGUUUAGCAAGCUGGAGACGUGGCCUAAGAAUUCUGUGUAUCUUCCCAAUACCUUUCACAUCACUUCUCAUCUUUUCUUCUUCUCAUCUACCUCUCAUUCCAAGAAAGCCUGGUUAUUUUAUUAUCUUGUAGUGUGAUACACUAAAAACAAACUUUGUUGGCUACCUUCAAAGCACUUCAUAUAAAUUUAAGACAUUUACACUACCGCAGCAACACUGCAAAACAUGCCAUCUAAUUUACAUAAAGUCACCCAGAGGUUAAUUAGUAUAUGGAGGUAAAUUUCCAAAAGAGUGCACCAGGAAAAAAGCAGCAAAAAGCAAUUCUUUCCUUAAUUGGCUUUGUACACACACCUCUCACUCCAUGUUUUUCAAAUGUACUUAGUAAUUUCUGUCUUCGUUUUCUGAGAAGAUUGCAUGUCAGGUAGAAAAGAAGUCUGUCAUUCUGUAUGUCUAAGUGGUUACUUGCUGACCUUUUGUUGUGCAAUAGGCCAUUUGGAAACAUGACCAUCACAAUUGCAUGAUAGAUGCUGUAUUGCUACACUUGCACACACGCUCCGGAAUAGAAUAAAAAAGUAUCCCCGGAUAUCCUUCUGUUUGAAUAACUGCUGGCAAAGGUUGAUAAAAUCUACACAUUAAAAUGUCAUGAAAUCA
Molecule: non-coding RNA, 4527 nt
Organism: Coturnix japonica (Japanese quail)
Lineage: Eukaryota; Metazoa; Chordata; Aves; Galliformes; Phasianidae
Source: RefSeq, a predicted model, not a curated record